UCCAUGUAAACAAAAAAAACGGACAAAAUGCUGUAUGGUUAAGUCUCACUUUAUUGCUUCUUCAAAUAUUUGGGUUCAAGAGGAUUGUUUUUAGCUUUGAUUGCACUAUAACAGCGUGUGUACGAAGCAGGAAAUAACUCAUGUCAUGCAGCAGUACAGAUUAUCAGAGGAAAAGGCCAGUUCAACGUCGAGCCAGCGUCGCAUCAACCAAUAUAGUUUGAUUAGCACAUCAUACAGCUCGACGUAUGAAUCAAUUGAGUUCGGUACGACUUACGACUGUAUAGUACCAGUAGUACGGCAGUGGUAUUCAAACGCCUAGGUAUCGUCGUGCCGAACAUAACACGAAGUCUUUUCCAAAAUUCCCAUGUCAGAAUUCUCAACCAUUGGAACACAACUACUUAAUGUCUAAAAGACGACUGCACCUACAUGUAUUUGAUAGAGAUGCAUGGGACCAUUGUCUCUAUAAGUUCCAAUGGAUUGUACUCCUUUCGUGAUUCUUACAUAAGAUCUAAUGUAUAGAGUUAAUGCACUAAAACCGUGAAACAAAUAGUACUAAUUACGUAUAUAAUAGUAUUGAUUAGACAAAGGAAUUACCAUAGUUUUUACCAUUUUGCAAUAUAAAAGAAAAGCUUCACGGAUUAAGUGUUUUCACUCUAAUACGAAUGUUAUUGCUAAUAUAUCAAUAAUUGUUCUAUAUUCUGCACAUGCUAGAUGGUAUGUUUUAAGAAAUAAAUAAAUAAAUUCUCGAUCAUGUUCAGUAACCAUUCACAAAAUCAGUUACAUCUCCUCCAAGAGAAACCAACAAAUUAUACAAGGUAAUUUGAAAAUUUUAAAAAUUAUUAUUUAUUGUUUUCUGUUGUUAAGUUAAAUUAACACUAUUUUGUAGUAAAUAAUUAAGUUUGUACUCUACACUCAAUCAAGGACUGAAUGUUGCUCAGGCCAAAGAGAGAGUCAUAAUAGCAGUUUAAAAAAAUAUCAGUCAAGGACUGCAUGUGAUUCAGGCAUAGGAGAAAUGUAAUAGGAACAUAGAGCUCUAGAAUAGGACAUAAGACAGAGUGCAAUUUGAAGUCUCCAUAUUAUUUGCAAAAUAAGAGAUAGUAAACUAAGAUAAUUAGGACCUUGUAAGGACCUUAGGACCUUAUGUAUAUGUAUAAAAUAUGAGUGGGAGACCUUUAUGGGCAUAUAAAAGUGUGAGCUACAAGGGAAGAGCCCAUGAAGGUCGUACACAAUUAUUUUAUAUUGCUAAUCAAAUUCCAACAUAAGUUAAAGCAUAUUUCAAUAAAACUUCAGGAUAAAAUA
Molecule: long non-coding RNA, 1299 nt
Organism: Exaiptasia diaphana
Lineage: Eukaryota; Metazoa; Cnidaria; Anthozoa; Actiniaria; Aiptasiidae
Exons: 2
Source: RefSeq, a predicted model, not a curated record